RNAcentral lists this long non-coding RNA (409 nucleotides) under Capra hircus (goat). RNAcentral's name for it is "lncRNA (ENSCHIG00000006106.1)". The record is from RNAcentral. Lineage: Eukaryota; Metazoa; Chordata; Mammalia; Artiodactyla; Bovidae.
GGAAAGUAAUCCUUCGGUAUUUGGCCCAGUGGAACUUACACUCUGCUUCCCUACUCCUGAGCUCAUGACAGAUUCUGAUAUAUUGAUAAUGGUAUUCUUUCCAGUGAGAAGUUGCAACCUUAGAAUGCAUCUCCCUGCCAAUGACUGGAGGAACCAAAAAGAUAAAACCACAUACGGCAUUCCCUGGUCUUCACCAUCAAACCUAUACUUUGGUAAAGGAAAUACCCGCUUACUGUUCAUUUCUAAGGACUCAGUUUCCUUAGGAGCUAGAAGCCUGGAGUACAAAAAAUCAAGCCUUUGUCUCAUCCCUGCCUAUUGCCAUUAUAUUCAAUGUGUCUUCAGAUAUAGAAGACUUUUUUCCCAAGGAAGAUCUGAAGGCAAGGAAGUCUUUCACAAGCCUGAACCAUGA